AAGUCGUAACAAGGUAACCGUAGGUGAACCUGCGGUUGGAUCAUUAACAAUGGUUUUCAAACCUUUAUUCUGUGCACUAUAUUGUUCUUGGUGUUUUCCGCCUCUUUCUUUGGAGAGGAGCGGAGGCACCGACAUUUUUAAACCAUGUAUUGUAUCGAGUCUUGAAUUUGUAUUAAAAUGAAAAACUUUUGACAACGGAUCUCUUGGCUCUC
This 212-nucleotide unclassified non-coding RNA is filed under the name fungal sp. Its description in RNAcentral is "partial internal transcribed spacer region". The stretch from base 1 to 46 matches the Rfam family "Eukaryotic small subunit ribosomal RNA", at positions 1786 to 1831 of the family's 1831-position model. The record is from RNAcentral. Lineage: Eukaryota; Fungi.